GAUGAACGCUGGCGGCGUGCCUAAUACAUGCAAGUCGAGCGAACAGACGAGGAGCUUGCUCCUCUGACGUUAGCGGCGGACGGGUGAGUAACACGUGGAUAACCUACCUAUAAGACUGGGAUAAAUUCGGGAAACCGGAGCUAAUACCGGAUAAUAUAUUGAACCGCAUGGUUCAAUAGUGAAAGACGGUUUUGCUUUCACUUAUAGAUGGAUCCGCGCCGCAUUAGCUAGUUGGUAAGGUAACGGCUUACCAAGGCAACGAUGCGUAGCCGACCUGAGAGGGUGAUCGGCCACACUGGAACUGAGACACGGUCCAGACUCCUACGGGAGGCAGCAGUAGGGAAUCUUCCGCAAUGGGCGAAAGCCUGACGGAGCAACGCCGCGUGAGUGAUGAAGGUCUUCGGAUCGUAAAACUCUGUUAUUAGGGAAGAACAAAUGUGUAAGUAACUAUGCACGUCUUGACGGUACCUAAUCAGAAAGCCACGGCUAACUACGUG
RNAcentral lists this ribosomal RNA (497 nucleotides) under uncultured bacterium. Its description in RNAcentral is "partial 16S ribosomal RNA". It matches the Rfam family "Bacterial small subunit ribosomal RNA", at positions 28 to 507 of the family's 1533-position model. The record is from RNAcentral.